GUUCUUGUAGUUGAUAUACAACGGUAGUUUUUCAAGUUACUAGUCCUGGUUAAAGUCCUGGUAAGAAUU
This 69-nucleotide transfer RNA is filed under the name Aphyosemion gabunense (Gabon killifish). RNAcentral's name for it is "tRNA-Glu". It matches the Rfam family "tRNA". Rfam says of the family: Transfer RNA (tRNA) molecules are approximately 80 nucleotides in length. Their secondary structure includes four short double-helical elements and three loops (D, anti-codon, and T loops). Lineage: Eukaryota; Metazoa; Chordata; Actinopteri; Cyprinodontiformes; Nothobranchiidae. The record is from RNAcentral.